Molecule: unclassified non-coding RNA, 2010 nt
Filed under: Melitaea cinxia (Glanville fritillary)
Lineage: Eukaryota; Metazoa; Arthropoda; Insecta; Lepidoptera; Nymphalidae
Description: misc RNA ENSMCXG00005014574.1
Source: RNAcentral
CAGUACAAAUCAUUGAAGUGAGCGGUGUGCGAGUGGCCGCCUUGUUUACACCAGCCAAAUACGCCUCAGUCAAUUCCAGCUAUUGUUAGAAAUAUGCUUGUUUGCUCUCAGUAAUCAAUUGGCGGCUCACUUACGUAUAUUGCUCAUAAUGAAUCAGUUUAAUACGUUACAAAGAGGAACAUUCCAAGUGUGUUGACUACACUAACCCCUCCUUUCUCAAGGAGUUCGGGCUACCUUAAGACAAUUACAAGAAAACAACUCUACUUGAGAUCAAUUUUAUUUGGCUCAAAACUACAAGGUUACUUCCCCGGUCGGGCUGCUUCAAAUUUUGAGCAAGAUGAUUCCUACUGCUGCUUCAAGAUAUUAUUAUAGAGCUCGGAUUCGAAACAUCUACUUUUUUAUUUUUAUUAUAUAGGAAGGCAAUACACCUAUAACUUGACAAUUUCUUUUUACAUUUUAGUCUUGACAAACUAAACCGCAUACUUUUAAAUAUACCUAUGGCAAUAAUAUGUAAAGGACUUUAUUACUACUUUUGCAAUUCAUUCAGUAUGUGUUUUUUGUUUCUUUUUAAUGUACUGGUAAGUGUGCAAUAAAGUAUAAGGCUCUAGAUAAGGGCAUAACGAUCUGUAAAAACGUUUCUUAGUGAACUGCCAUUUAUACAAAGAUACGAGAAAUUAAAUUACCUUUGGUUCAACAUAAGAUUUAUUUAAUCAUUAAGAAUUCAUCCAAAACUAACAUCUAGUGUUUUUAGAAAUAUCUUAUGGUUAAUGGGAUUGAACCUAAAUAAGCAGACCCUUAAUUAAAUCCAAAUUGCAAACAGACAAAGAAUAAAUAUUAUUACAUAGCCAUUUAUAAUAUAAUGCAUACAGUAAUACUGAAAUAUUAAUUUUGUUAUCAUUAUACGUCUACAGAUUGAAGAAAUAUAUUUUUAUUGAAUGUAUAUUACGAGUAUAUUUGCUUACUCCAUCAUAAUAAUAUUUCGGAUUUAUUUAAUAAUCAACGAUUCCAACCGUGAUAUUUGUGGCUUUUAGUUGCGCUACAAUAUAAUGUAAGCUUUUGAAUGAUGAAGAAUUAUAAACUCGAGUUUAAUAGUUUUAGUCUUUAUUAAUCCAUAAAAGAAUUAUAAUAAAAAAAGGUGUGUGUCAACUCCGACACGAGACAAGAGUUUACUCCUGAAAAACGAUUAUCUGCAGUAGAUUUUCGUACCGAUACAGUAAGUGCAGCUAAAAGUGCUGUAAAACGUCAAUCUGAGCGUCAAUCAAGCGUCAGCGUGAGUUUAACCUUCUGCGUUCACGUUAUUUGAAAUUACUAAUUUCUAAUAAGUAAGUAGUCAAUGGCAUUAAAUAUAUGUAUAAUUAUUAUCGACUAAUUUAAAACUAACUGUGAGAUCAUCACUCGUACUAAAAAUAUAUACAAAACUUCAUUUACUGCCAAAAAUAAAUUACAUAUACGUUUCAAUCCUUAGAAAGAUACAUAUGUGUAAAGUUGUAAGCCCAGUUUGAUUAAAUAUAAGGGGUGAAAUACAGGUUAUAAAUUUACAACAAAUCGUAAUACCUUGAAUCCUUUCAUCAUUAUUUAUGUACAAACAAUAACUCAUGCAUAAAAAAUCAUGUAUGCAUAAGAUUAGGUUGCAGAUAACCCGGUUUGAAAUAUUCGUCAAGUAUAUCUUCAUAAGAACCAACGUAAUAGCAAGACUACAGUAAAUUAUUAGAACAGAAACGUUUUAGAGUGCGGGCUCAAAGUCGUCGGUUUGCGGACGCAAGAAAGUUGUGAAUUUCAUCACAAAGGACAAAGGAUUUGCGCCGCGGGGCAUUUGCUCAGCGCAGGUAUUUGUUCGCGCCUAAUUAAACAUGAAACAAUGGCGCAGGUGUAUCAAGCUGCGAGUGAUAGGGCCGCCCGUUUAUACUAUUGCUGUCUAUCCGAAUCUACUGUUCUUGUGAUAUACGAGUUUAUUCUACCGAGUAAUAAAGUAGUGAAGUAAAACAAUUAUAAAAAAGCAACUGUAGUUAA